This 1370-nucleotide ribosomal RNA is filed under the name uncultured beta proteobacterium. RNAcentral's name for it is "bacterial SSU rRNA". It matches the Rfam family "Bacterial small subunit ribosomal RNA", at positions 27 to 1395 of the family's 1533-position model. The record is from RNAcentral. Lineage: Bacteria; Pseudomonadati; Pseudomonadota; Betaproteobacteria.
GAUUGAACGCUGGCGGCAUGCCUUACACAUGCAAGUCGAACGGCAGCACGGGUGCUUGCACCUGGUGGCGAGUGGCGAACGGGUGAGUAAUACAUCGGAACAUGUCCUGUAGUGGGGGAUAGCCCGGCGAAAGCCGGAUUAAUACCGCAUACGAUCUACGGAUGAAAGCGGGGGACCUUCGGGCCUCGCGCUAUAGGGUUGGCCGAUGGCUGAUUAGCUAGUUGGUGGGGUAAAGGCCUACCAAGGCGACGAUCAGUAGCUGGUCUGAGAGGACGACCAGCCACACUGGGACUGAGACACGGCCCAGACUCCUACGGGAGGCAGCAGUGGGGAAUUUUGGACAAUGGGCGAAAGCCUGAUCCAGCAAUGCCGCGUGUGUGAAGAAGGCCUUCGGGUUGUAAAGCACUUUUGCCCGGAAAGAAAUCCUUGGCUCUAAUACAGUCGGGGGAUGACGGUACCGGAAGAAUAAGCACCGGCUAACUACGUGCCAGCAGCCGCGGUAAUACGUAGGGUGCGAGCGUUAAUCGGAAUUACUGGGCGUAAAGCGUGCGCAGGCGGUUUGCUAAGACCGAUGUGAAAUCCCCGGGCUCAACCUGGGAACUGCAUUGGUGACUGGCAGGGCUAGAGUAUGGCAGAGGGGGUAGAAUUCCACGUGUAGCAGUGAAAUGCGUAGAGAUGUGGAGGAAUACCGAUGGCGAAGGCAGCCCCCUGGGCCAAUACUGACGCUCAUGCACGAAAGCGUGGGGGAGCAAACAGGAUUAGAUACCCUGGUAGUCCACGCCCUAAACGAUGUCAACUAGUUGUUGGGGAUUCAUUUCCUUAGUAACGUAGCUAACGCGUGAAGUUGACCGCCUGGGGAGUACGGUCGCAAGAUUAAAACUCAAAGGAAUUGACGGGGACCCGCACAAGCGGUGGAUGAUGUGGAUUAAUUCGAUGCAACGCGAAAAACCUUACCUACCCUUGACAUGGUCGGAAUCCCGCUGAGAGGUGGGAGUGCUCGAAAGAGAACCGGCGCACAGGUGCUGCAUGACUGUCGUCAGCUCGUGUCGUGAGAUGUUGGGUUAAGUCCCGCAACGAGCGCAACCCUUGUCCUUAGUUGCUACGCAAGAGCACUCUAAGGAGACUGCCGGUGACAAACCGGAGGAAGGUGGGGAUGACGUCAAGUCCUCAUGGCCCUUAUGGGUAGGGCUUCACACGUCAUACAAUGGUCGGAACAGAGGGUUGCCAACCCGCGAGGGGGAGCUAAUCCCAGAAAACCGAUCGUAGUCCGGAUUGCACUCUGCAACUCGAGUGCAUGAAGCUGGAAUCGCUAGUAAUCGCGGAUCAGCAUGCCGCGGUGAAUACGUUCCCGGGUCUUGUACUCACCGCCC